UGGGGAAUAUUGGGCAAUGGGCGCAAGCCUGACCCAGCAACGCCGCGUGAAGGAAGAAGGCUUUCGGGUUGUAAACUUCUUUUAUAGGGGACGAAACAAAUGACGGUACCCUAUGAAUAAGCUCCGGCUAACUACGUGCCAGCAGCCGCGGUAAUACGUAGGGAGCAAGCGUUAUCCGGAUUUAUUGGGUUUAAAGGGAGCGUAGAUGGGUUGUUAAGUCAGUUGUGAAAGUUUGCGGCUCAACCGUAAAAUUGCAGUUGAUACUGUUAGUCUUGAGUACAGUAGAGGUAAGCGGAAUUCGUGGUGUAGCGGUGAAAUGCUUAGAGAUCAUACAGAACACCGAGUGCGAAGGCAGCUUACCAAACUAUAUCUGACGUUGAGGCACGAAAGCGUGGGGAGCAAACA
RNAcentral lists this ribosomal RNA (405 nucleotides) under uncultured bacterium. RNAcentral describes it as "bacterial SSU rRNA". It matches the Rfam family "Bacterial small subunit ribosomal RNA", at positions 355 to 774 of the family's 1533-position model. The record is from RNAcentral.